CACAUCCAAACACUGAGGAGCAACAUGAUCAGAUUUGGCACGGUCAUCUCUGUCCUCUAUUCAACAUGUCUAUUUGGAUUUUCUCACAGUAAUCGUGUCACCCAGACUCCUCUUCACCUGAUCAGAAACCCUGCUGAAUCUGCUGUUAUUGAGUGUUCACACACUGUAUCAGGUUAUGAUCGGGUCGGCUGGUACAAACAAACCACGGACUCUCAAAGCUUUACUUUAAUUGGGUAUGUUUAUGCAAAGGCCACACCUAAUAAAGAAGCUGAAUUCCAGGAUAAAGUGGACAUCAGUGGAGAUGGAAACAAUGAUGUUACUCUAUCCAUCAAAGAUCUCUCAGCCUCAGACAGUGCAGUGUAUUUCUGCGCUGCGUAUUACACAGUGCUGCAGAGCUGCUCUACUGCAGUACAAAAACACAGACCUCGCUGA
This is a non-coding RNA of Astyanax mexicanus (Mexican tetra), 432 nucleotides long. The record is from the annotation of a RefSeq genome assembly. NCBI's taxonomy places the organism in Eukaryota, Metazoa, Chordata, Actinopteri, Characiformes, Acestrorhamphidae.